RNAcentral lists this ribosomal RNA (497 nucleotides) under uncultured bacterium. RNAcentral describes it as "partial 16S ribosomal RNA". It matches the Rfam family "Bacterial small subunit ribosomal RNA", at positions 28 to 507 of the family's 1533-position model. The record is from RNAcentral.
GAUGAACGCUGGCGGCGUGCCUAAUACAUGCAAGUCGAGCGAACAGACGAGGAGCUUGCUCCUCUGACGUUAGCGGCGGACGGGUGAGUAACACGUGGAUAACCUACCUAUAAGACUGGGAUAACUUCGGGAAACCGGAGCUAAUACCGGAUAAUAUAUUGAACCGCAUGGUUCAAUAGUGAAAGACGGUUUUGCUGUCACUUAUAGAUGGAUCCGCGCCGCAUUAGCUAGUUGGUAAGGUAACGGCUUACCAAGGCAACGAUGCGUAGCCGACCUGAGAGGGUGAUCGGCCAAACUGGAACUGGGACCAGGUUCCGAAUCCUACGGGAGGCAGCCGUAGGGAAUCUUCCGGAAUGGGCGGAAGCUUGACGGAGCAACGGCGCGUGAGUGAUGAAGGUCUUCGGAUCGUAAAACUCUGUUAUUAGGGAAGAACAAAUGUGUAAGUAACUAUGCACGUCUUUAAGGUAACUUAUCAGAAAGCCACGGCUAACUAAGUG